UUCGCAAUGCCCGAAAGGGUGACGAAGCGACGCCGCGUGCGGGAAGAAGGCCUUCGGGUUGUAAACCGCUGUCGGGAGUUAAGAAAUGCAAGGAUAUUAAUAGUGUCUUUGCUUGACUAAGGCUCCGGAGGAAGCCACGGCUAACUCUGUGCCAGCAGCCGCGGUAAUACAGAGGCGGCAAGCGUUGUUCGGAAUUAUUGGGCGUAAAGAGCACGUAGGCGGCUAUGUAAGUCGGUUGUGAAAGCCUUCCGCUCAACGGGAGAACAGCAUCCGAUACUGCAUGGCUUGAGUGCGGGAGGGGAGAGUGGAACUUCUGGUGGAGCGGUGAAAUGCGUAGAUAUCAGGAGGAACGCCGGCGGCGAAAGCGGCUCUCUGGCCCGUAACUGACGCUGAGGUGCGAAAGCUAGGGGAGCAAACGGGAUUAGAUACCCCGGUAGUCCUAGCCGUAAACGAUGGGCACUAAGUAGAGGGGUUUU
RNAcentral lists this ribosomal RNA (476 nucleotides) under uncultured anaerobic ammonium-oxidizing bacterium. RNAcentral's name for it is "bacterial SSU rRNA". It matches the Rfam family "Bacterial small subunit ribosomal RNA", at positions 365 to 832 of the family's 1533-position model. The record is from RNAcentral.